AGUGAACGCUGGCGGUAGGCCUAACACAUGCGAGUCGAACGGCAGCACAGUAAGAGCUUGCUCUUACGGGUGGCGAGUGGCGGACGGGUGAGGAAUACAUCGGAAUCUACUUUUUCGUGGGGGAUAACGUAGGGAAACUUACGCUAAUACCGCAUACGACCUACGGGUGAAAGCAGGGGAUCUUCGGACCUUGCGCGAUUGAAUGAGCCGAUGUCGGAUUAGCUAGUUGGCGGGGUAAAGGCCCACCAAGGCGACGAUCCGUAGCUGGUCUGAGAGGAUGAUCAGCCACACUGGAACUGAGACACGGUCCAGACUCCUACGGGAGGCAGCAGUGGGGAAUAUUGGACAAUGGGCGCAAGCCUGAUCCAGCCAUACCGCGUGGGUGAAGAAGGCCUUCGGGUUGUAAAGCCCUUUUGUUGGGAAAGAAAAGCAGCAGGUUAAUACCCCGCUGCUCUGACGGUACCCAAAGAAUAAGCACCGGCUAACUUCGUG
RNAcentral lists this ribosomal RNA (492 nucleotides) under uncultured bacterium. Its description in RNAcentral is "partial 16S ribosomal RNA". It matches the Rfam family "Bacterial small subunit ribosomal RNA", at positions 29 to 507 of the family's 1533-position model. The record is from RNAcentral.